Molecule: ribosomal RNA, 767 nt
Filed under: uncultured bacterium
Lineage: Bacteria
Description: bacterial SSU rRNA
Rfam family: Bacterial small subunit ribosomal RNA
Source: RNAcentral
UGAACGCUGGCGGCAGGCCUAACACAUGCAAGUCGAGCGGAAACGAAGAGGUGCUUGCACCUUUGGCGUCGAGCGGCGGACGGGUGAGUAAUGCUUGGGAAUAUGCCUUAUGGUGGGGGACAACAGUUGGAAACGACUGCUAAUACCGCAUGAUGUCUACGGACCAAAGUGGGGGACCUUCGGGCCUCACGCCAUAAGAUUAGCCCAAGUGGGAUUAGCUAGUUGGUGAGGUAAUGGCUCACCAAGGCGACGAUCCCUAGCUGGUUUGAGAGGAUGAUCAGCCACACUGGGACUGAGACACGGCCCAGACUCCUACGGGAGGCAGCAGUGGGGAAUAUUGCACAAUGGGCGCAAGCCUGAUGCAGCCAUGCCGCGUGUGUGAAGAAGGCCUUCGGGUUGUAAAGCACUUUCAGUAAGGAGGAAAGGUUAAGUGUUAAUAGCACUUAGCUGUGACGUUACUUACAGAAGAAGCACCGGCUAACUCCGUGCCAGCAGCCGCGGUAAUACGGAGGGUGCGAGCGUUAAUCGGAAUUACUGGGCGUAAAGCGUACGCAGGCGGUUUGUUAAGCGAGAUGUGAAAGCCCCGGGCUCAACCUGGGAACUGCAUUUCGAACUGGCAAACUAGAGUGUGAUAGAGGGUGGUAGAAUUUCAGGUGUAGCGGUGAAAUGCGUAGAGAUCUGAAGGAAUACCGAUGGCGAAGGCAGCCACCUGGGUCAACACUGACGCUCAUGUACGAAAGCGUGGGGAGCAAACAGGAUUAGAUACC